RNAcentral lists this ribosomal RNA (504 nucleotides) under uncultured bacterium. RNAcentral describes it as "bacterial SSU rRNA". It matches the Rfam family "Bacterial small subunit ribosomal RNA", at positions 28 to 531 of the family's 1533-position model. The record is from RNAcentral.
GAUGAACGCUAGCGGCAGGCCUAACACAUGCAAGUCGAGGGGUAGAAGGAGCUUGCUCCUUUGAGACCGGCGCACGGGUGCGUAACGCGUAUGCAAUCUACCUUGUACAGGGGAAUAGCCCAGAGAAAUUUGGAUUAAUGCCCCAUAGUAUAUAACCUUCGCAUGUUGGUUAUAUUAAAGUUCCAACGGUACAAGAUGAGCAUGCGUCCCAUUAGUUAGUUGGUAAGGUAACGGCUUACCAAGACGAUGAUGGGUAGGGGUCCUGAGAGGGAGAUCCCCCACACUGGUACUGAGACACGGACCAGACUCCUACGGGAGGCAGCAGUGAGGAAUAUUGGUCAAUGGUCGCAAGACUGAACCAGCCAUGCCGCGUGCAGGAAGACGGUCCUAUGGAUUGUAAACUGCUUUUAUACAGGAAGAAACCCUCCCACGUGUGGGAGCUUGACGGUACUGUAGGAAUAAGGAUCGGCUAACUCCGUGCCAGCAGCCGCGGUAAAAGUCACG